Non-coding RNA from Pelobates cultripes (western spadefoot toad), 247 nucleotides. Lineage: Eukaryota; Metazoa; Chordata; Amphibia; Anura; Pelobatidae. The record is from the annotation of a GenBank genome assembly.
UGUGAGCGGUGGGUGGGGGCCAUAAAAAUAAUGAGGGGGGGACCUACUGUAUGAUGUUGUAUCGAUCAGGUAGUGUAAGGGUUACGCCCGCUUCACAGUGACAGACCAAACUCCCCAUUUAACGCACCGCAAACAACCGCAAACAGUCCAUUUGCACAACCGCAAACUCCCCAUUUGCACAAGGUUGGAUACCAAGCUAGCCAUGUCCUGUUCCUUGUCCUCACUGAUGUCAUUGAAGGUCUCUUCC